RNAcentral lists this ribosomal RNA (435 nucleotides) under Selenomonas sputigena. RNAcentral's name for it is "bacterial SSU rRNA". It matches the Rfam family "Bacterial small subunit ribosomal RNA", at positions 28 to 445 of the family's 1533-position model. The record is from RNAcentral. Lineage: Bacteria; Bacillati; Bacillota; Negativicutes; Selenomonadales; Selenomonadaceae.
GACGAACGCUGGCGGCGUGCUUAACACAUGCAAGUCGAACGGGAACCUUUAUUUCGGUAAAGGUGAGAGUGGCAAACGGGUGAGUAACACGUAGGCAACCUGCCGACAGGAUGGGGACAACAUUCCGAAAGGAAUGCUAAUACCGAAUGGAGUCCGAGGAUGGCAUCAUCCUUGGAUAAAAGAUGGCCUCUUAACAAUGCUAUCGCCUGUCGAUGGGCCUGCGUCUGAUUAGCCAGUUGGCGGGGUAACGGCCCACCAAAGCGUCGAUCAGUAGCCGGUCUGAGAGGAUGAACGGCCACAUUGGGACUGAGACACGGCCCAGACUCCUACGGGAGGCAGCAGUGGGGAAUCUUCCACAAUGGGCGAAAGCCUGAUGGAGCAACGCCGCGUGAGUGAAGAAGGUCUUUCGGAUCGUAAAAGCUCUGUUGCCACGGG